Molecule: long non-coding RNA, 4119 nt
Organism: Loxodonta africana (African savanna elephant)
Lineage: Eukaryota; Metazoa; Chordata; Mammalia; Proboscidea; Elephantidae
Exons: 3
Source: RefSeq, a predicted model, not a curated record
UGGAAUUCAGCAUCUGGUCCCCCAGCGUCAUGUGGACCUGGGCCUCCCAGACCGGGAACACUCCAUCCAAGGAGCAGUUCACAGCGGUCUCUUUACCCACCUCCAAGAUACGAGGAGCGGAAAUGGAAGUUCCAGGAGGGCAGGGCUUUUUGUCUGACUUGCUCAGUCUUGUGUCCUCAACACCCAGAACCUGUGCCAGCACACAGCAGGUACUCAAUAAAUGUUUGUGGGAUGAAGCCAUCGCAGGAUGCAAAGACUCCCCUGCCCGCAGAUGUCUGGGAUAUUUUUACCCUCCAUGAGGUGCCCUUGCCCCAUUCCCAGACACCUGAUCUUUUUAGCCACCUCCUCCAGGGAGACACCGCGGUGGAGAGCAAGGUGGCAGAGGUGCAGAAAAGCCAUGCCCAGGCUCUCAUUCUUAAAGUGGUGGAUCUCCUCCUCGCUGGACAGCUCCCACAGUGAGGCCACGUCAUUGACAAACUCAUGCUUGCCCUGGGGGUGGGAGAAUCAGCAGAAAGGGAGGUAUGAGGUCCUGUUCACUCCCCUUCAGGACACCUUGGGGAGGGGAAGGACGAUUGUGUGGAAAGGGCAAACACAAAGCAUGCACACGUCCUCUGCCCAAUCCUGUGCCCAUGGCAGACAUCACUAAUCAAUCACAGCACUCUUUCCCAUGCAACUCUUAGAGUCCCAGAAUAGGCAAAGAUUCCUGGAUGGCAUGAGUUGAAAUCUACUGUCAGUACUGAAUUGGGGAGUGAAGUGGGGGUUCCUCAAUGGCUCAUGAGGCCCCCCCAAAUAGUCCCGCCCCCCAGCCCUGCUCACACCUGCUCAAAGAUAUAUUCAAAGGAGGCUGGAUCUAAGAAUUGCAGCCCAUGCUCUGCUUGAUCUGAGGAAGACUCGGCCCCAGGGGGCCCACAGCGGUACACAGCUGGCUCCUGAGGGUUCAUGCCAUGCCAGUUCCGGAAAUAAAACCUGUAGGUAAGGAGGAGCAGGGCUGGGGCUCUGAGUGCUAUCUCACUGCCCUGCUUCCAAAGCCACUGCCCAGGCAAUGGAAACAGGGGUCAGCACAGCUUCAGCUCAGCUCAAGGAAGGGGAGCGACAGGGACAAAAGAGGACAAGCCUCCCCAGGGUUCUUUGCCUACCUCAUGCGGAAGUGCAGAUUCAGGCUGGAGUCUCUGGGGACCUCCAGGAUGUGGUUUGGGGGUAGCCAGACUUGGCCCUGGGCAUCAAAGAGGGCGAACAGAUUGAAGCAGAGUGGAGUGAUGCCUGGGACAGGGGAAAAAUGAGGCUACAAGUCAAGUCUCCUGCUGCCAUCAGCCCCACGAGCCCCCAGACCCUCCGCCUCCCUUCACAUGCCCUACCUGGACCUCCUCCCCUGCCUACAGAUUCAGUUUACGUUGCUCAUGGGGCAGAAGACAGGGCAGUGUGUUGACCAUACUGUGGCCUCACAGGAAGACAUUUCCCAGCCUCCCUUGUAGCUAGGUUGGAGCCAUUGGACUGGUUUCAGGACAAUGGGAUGUGGGCAGAAAGGAUGAGCACAUUUCCAGUGGAUCAAUAAGCCCUCCUGCCAUCUUCCCUGCCCCAGGAAUGUUGGAGGCCCCUUGUGCCAGGUGGCAAAGCUACAAGAGAUAUAAAAGAGCAGAUUAAGCAAGCAGUGACUGGUGAAAAUAGAUGCCAAGCCACAUGAAGAUCAUCGAAGAAUAGAAGUACAAAACAGACAAGGACCUUCCUUUAGAACUGACAGAGACAGAGAGAGAGCCUUCCCCUUGAGCUGGCACCCUGAAUUCGGACUUCUAGCCUAUUAACUGUGAGAAAAUAAAUGUCUGUUUGUUAAAACCACCUACCUGUGGUAUUUCUGAUUACAGCAGCACUACAUAACUAAGACAGUAAAUCCAUCUUAAGCCAGGAAGAUUGGGGCGGGGAGGUGUUGCUUGUUAUUGCAGCAAAACCUACCCUAGGCUAACACAACUCUACAAACCACUGGCACUUUGCCUGGUCUCUCCCAGACAUCCAGCCCUGAAGAAACACCUAACUACUUCCCAGCUGUCUCUCCUUGGACAUCACAGGCCCCUUAGACAUACCUUGUUCCAAGCAGAUCUCAUCUGCAAUCCCCAAACCUGCCCCUCCUCUCCCCAAUUCUUCAAGCCGGAAACUUGAUCCUUGUCCUUAAUUCCUCCUAGCCCCUCCACAUUAGCUCGGUCAUGAAGUCCUGCUCUUUCUGCAUCCUCCAACUCUCUGUGAUCCAUCCACUUCCCUAAAUCCAAAGCCCAGCCCCAGUUCAGCCUCCUCACUUAUCUUCCAGCCUCCAGGCUUGCCAUUAUUUCCACGCCAGCCACCCAAGCUGCAUUCUUUAUGAUACACGUCAUUUAAAAGAUUUACCUAAAAUAGCCCCUUCAGAAUCAUUUAUAAACACCGUGUACCAGUCACCAGAUAAAGAAAACUUUGCAAAUACAACUGAAGUGCCUGCCUACAUUUUCCUCCUUCCUCCUCCCCCAAAGAGGUAAUUGCAUGCCUGGGCUAGUGUUUCUCAUUUUCAUAUCUUCCAAAUCUAGUCAGUCUGUCAAACUGUGGUGGCUUGUGUGUUUCUGCGAUACCGAAAGCCACUAGUAUAAAUGCCACUGGUAUGUCAGAUACCAGCAGGGUCAACCAUGCUGGACAGGUUUCAGUGGAGUUUCCAAACUAAGACAGACUAAGAAGAAAGGCCUGGAGAUCUAUUUCUGAAAAUCAGCGAAUGAAUAUUGUCUGAUACAGUGCUGGUGGAUAAGCCCCCUAGGCUGGAAGGCACUCAAAAUACACAAUGGCCACAACAAUGGACUUGAGCUUACCAAGGAUUAUAAAGAUGGCACGGGACUGGGCAACACUUUGUUCUGUUGUACAUGGGGUCACCAUGAGUCAGAACCAACCCGAUGGCAACUAACAAGAGACAACAGAUCUAGUCUUGAGGGUUAUAAACUUUAAAUGUGUGGUACCAUAUGGUAGGUUUCCUUCUGUAAUUUUCUUUUUCAUGCUAUAAAAGGUUUUACAGCUUCAUACAUGAUAUGUCUAACUUUGGCCUGUUCCUUUUUCCUCGCUGUAUAGUAUUCCAGUCUUGAACCAUACUAUAAUUUAUGUGCAUCUUCCCACUGAUGUACUGGGAUAAAUGCAGCAACUCUAAACAUUCCUGUAUGCAUCCCCUGGAUCACAUGAGUGGUGUGUCUCUACGGCGUGUUUCUAGGAGUGGAACUGCUUGGCCUCAAGGAACGGACAUUUUAAUUCAAUUGAAAAAAUCCAGUUCAUUGCUGUGGAGUUGAUUCUGACUCGCAGUGACCCUACAGGACAGAGUAUAGAACUACCCCAUCGGGUUUCCAAGGUGGUAAUCUUUACUGAAGUAGACUUCGGCAUCUUUCUCCUGAGGAGUGGCUGGUGAGUUCGAACCACUGACCUUUUGGUCAGCAGCCAGGUGCUUAACAACUGCACCAUCAGGGAUCCUUUCAAUGCAAUUAGAUAAUGUCAAGCUGCUCUCCAAAGUUGCGGCAUUCAACUGUACUGGCCCCCCGCAGGAGAAUGUCUCCCUUGUGACAGAACUUCCUGAAGAGCCAAUCUCACUCUUGGCCUUAAACUUUCCAUUGUUCCCCACUGAACCCUGAGAAAGCCCAACCCCCUCAGCGGACAGUAAUCAUUAUCUGGCCCCUCCCAGUUAUGCUAAGGUUUCAGUUCUUACUUCCUCUUCCAAACUCUCAAAAUCAACACUCUAAGGUCUUUUGCUUCCUCAAACAGGACAUGUCCUCUGGGCCCUUUGUACCCAUCAGAACCUCUGUCUGGCAUGUAUCAUAACACCUGGCAUACCCGUCAAGUCUUUUAAGAGCCAGCCAUUGUGGGGAGGUAAGCUGAGAAGGCUUUCCAGAAGGAAGGAUAUGUAAGCAAAGUCCCCUGCGAGAGACCUUCCCCUCCUCUGGUAAUUAAGUUGUACGUCUGAGCACAUCUACUGCAGGCUCUCUAAGCUCUUCCACGCAGCUGGUUCCCCACGGCCCUCAGGAGAACAUUUAAACUCUAAACUCCUCAACUAUUAGUCUCUACUCAUCUAGAGCAAGAGAAUAAAGGAAAUCAAAGACUCAAAGAAGAAACUAGUCCACAGGAUUAAUAACC